Molecule: transfer RNA, 90 nt
Filed under: Hyphomicrobiales bacterium
Lineage: Bacteria; Pseudomonadati; Pseudomonadota; Alphaproteobacteria; Hyphomicrobiales
Description: Rhizobiales bacterium (seawater metagenome) tRNA-Ser
Rfam family: tRNA
About the family: Transfer RNA (tRNA) molecules are approximately 80 nucleotides in length. Their secondary structure includes four short double-helical elements and three loops (D, anti-codon, and T loops).
Source: RNAcentral
GGAGAUGUGGCCGAGUGGUCGAAGGCGCACCCCUGCUAAGGGUGUAUACGGGGAACCGUAUCGAGGGUUCGAAUCCCUUCGUCUCCGCCA